This 33-nucleotide small RNA is filed under the name Arabidopsis thaliana (thale cress). RNAcentral's name for it is "ATSL251390". The record is from RNAcentral. Lineage: Eukaryota; Viridiplantae; Streptophyta; Magnoliopsida; Brassicales; Brassicaceae.
ACGCUAUGUUGGACUUAGGGAUGUAAUCAUAGU